UUGGACUCUCCUAAUACCUCUUUUGCUACUUUUCGGAUACAACUAGCCAUGGAAUCCCACAUUUGACUAGCUUCCCCCUCUCUAUCCCACACACAUUGGGUGAUUACCUUCUCUUUGAAAAUGGCUUGUUUUUCUUCUUUUAGAUUCCACCAUCUAGUCUUUGGGCACUUCCAAGUCUUGUUCUUUUGUCUUACUCUUUUGAUAUGUACAUCCAUCACCAACAAGCGAUGUUGAUUAGCCACGCUCUCUCCUGGUAUAACUUUGCAAUCCUUACAAGUUAUACGAUCCCCUUUC
Molecule: long non-coding RNA, 294 nt
Filed under: Malus domestica (apple)
Lineage: Eukaryota; Viridiplantae; Streptophyta; Magnoliopsida; Rosales; Rosaceae
Description: long non-coding RNA (MDOM_LNC004475)
Source: RNAcentral